GUAUACUGGUGCAGGAUGGUAUGGCUUCACUGGUGGUGGAGGUGACUUGUAAAUUGGAGUUGGUGGUGGUGGAGAUUUGUAUACUGGUGCAGGAUGGUAUGGCUUCACUGGUGGUGGUGGUGACUUGUAAACAGGUGUUGGAGGUGGUGGUGACUUGUAUACUGGUGCAGGAUGGUAUGGC
Molecule: non-coding RNA, 181 nt
Organism: Solanum lycopersicum (tomato)
Lineage: Eukaryota; Viridiplantae; Streptophyta; Magnoliopsida; Solanales; Solanaceae
Source: RefSeq, a predicted model, not a curated record